This 45-nucleotide non-coding RNA is filed under the name Echinostoma caproni. The record is from RNAcentral. Lineage: Eukaryota; Metazoa; Platyhelminthes; Trematoda; Plagiorchiida; Echinostomatidae.
GCACCGCUGAUGAGACCCAAGCAGGUCGAAACAGCUGUCCAGUGC